RNAcentral lists this ribosomal RNA (254 nucleotides) under uncultured bacterium. RNAcentral's name for it is "partial 16S ribosomal RNA". It matches the Rfam family "Bacterial small subunit ribosomal RNA", at positions 524 to 776 of the family's 1533-position model. The record is from RNAcentral.
GACGAACCGUGCGAACGUUAUUCGGAAUCAUUGGGCUUAAAGGGCGCGUAGGCGGUUCGGUACGUCGGUCGCUGAAAUCCCCCGGCUUAACCGGGGACGUGGCACCGAUACGGCCGACCUGGAGGCGAGGAGGGGGACCUGGAACGUCCGGUGGAGCGGUGAAAUGCGUUGAGAUCGGACGGAACGCCGACGGCGAAAGCAAGGUCCUGGACUCGUACUGACGCUGAGGCGCGAAAGCCAGGGGAGCGAACGGG